AUGGAAGCAACGGACCGCUAGGACCUGUGGACACU
This 35-nucleotide small RNA is filed under the name Sinorhizobium meliloti 2011. Its description in RNAcentral is "putative ncRNA". The record is from RNAcentral. Lineage: Bacteria; Pseudomonadati; Pseudomonadota; Alphaproteobacteria; Hyphomicrobiales; Rhizobiaceae.